UAUAGAGAGAAAGUCAUUUGGGAGAAAGAAAGAAAACUAGGGUUUUAGAGGGAAGGAGGAGGCCAAAGAGGGAUUCCAUUCAAGAGCUAUUUUCUCCAAAUUUCUCCAAGAAUCCAUUAGAGCUGCACUCAAUCCAAGGUGAUUCGCAUUGAGAGGAGGUUAGCCGAGUUGGUUUUGAGUCGUUGUCGCUCUGAUACGUAGCACUCGGGGGGGACGAACGAGUUGAUUUACUUGCUUUUGGAUUUUUAUGUUUUGGCAUACACUUGAGUUAUUUGUUUGAGAUUGUCGCUUUAAAGUGCUUUAAUUGUUGAAUUAAGAUGCUAUGAAAUCUUGAACUAAUUGUUGAGUUUCCGUUGCACUUCUAUGGAAGUUAA
Molecule: long non-coding RNA, 374 nt
Organism: Vicia villosa (hairy vetch)
Lineage: Eukaryota; Viridiplantae; Streptophyta; Magnoliopsida; Fabales; Fabaceae
Exons: 2
Source: RefSeq, a predicted model, not a curated record